Non-coding RNA from Trichonephila clavipes, 72 nucleotides. The record is from the annotation of a GenBank genome assembly. NCBI's taxonomy places the organism in Eukaryota, Metazoa, Arthropoda, Arachnida, Araneae, Nephilidae.
UGGGGUAUAGCUCAAUGGUAGAGCAUUCGACUGCAGAUUGAGAGGUCCCAGAUUCAAACCCGGGUGUCCCCU